UACAGAGGUCUCGAGCGUUGUUCGGAUUUACUGGGCGUAAAGGGAGCGUAGGCGGCCGGGUGUGUCGAAUGUGAAAGCCCACAACUCAACUGUGGAAUGGCAUUCGAAACUACCUGGCUAGAGUACUGGAGAGGAGAGCGGAAUUCUUGGUGUAGCGGUGAAAUGCGUAGAUAUCAAGAGGAACACCGGUGGCGAAGGCGGCUCCCUGGACAGAUACUGACGCUGAGGCUCUAAAGUUAGGGGAGCAAACAGGAUUAGAUACCCGCGUA
This 269-nucleotide ribosomal RNA is filed under the name uncultured prokaryote. RNAcentral describes it as "partial 16S ribosomal RNA". It matches the Rfam family "Bacterial small subunit ribosomal RNA", at positions 524 to 792 of the family's 1533-position model. The record is from RNAcentral.